UACGUAGGGGGCAAGCGUUGUCCGGAAUCAUUGGGCGUAAAGAGCGUGUAGGCGGCCCGGUAAGUCCGCUGUGAAAGUCCAGGGCUCAACCCUGGGAUGCCGGUGGAUACUGUCGGGCUCGAGUCCGGAAGAGGAGUGUGGAAUUCCUGGUGUAGCGGUGAAAUGCGUAGAUAUCAGGAGGAACACCGGUGGCGGAGGCGCUCAUCUGGCCCAAUACUGACGCUGAAGCGCGAAAGCUAGGGGAGCAAACGGG
This 253-nucleotide ribosomal RNA is filed under the name uncultured bacterium. RNAcentral's name for it is "partial 16S ribosomal RNA". It matches the Rfam family "Bacterial small subunit ribosomal RNA", at positions 524 to 776 of the family's 1533-position model. The record is from RNAcentral.